Anas platyrhynchos (mallard) is the source of this 10281-nucleotide non-coding RNA. The record is from RefSeq and is a predicted model, not a curated record. Lineage: Eukaryota; Metazoa; Chordata; Aves; Anseriformes; Anatidae.
AUAAGCCCCCAGAAAAUGUUUUCAGGGUAGGAGACCCUAGAAAGUACUCAGACUUGCUGUAUUUACCAGGAUUUGAGAGGGUAAAUCCAGAGACAGGUGGUAGUAAAUGAAGGCCUUCACCAGGGGAAGCUCCUGAUUGCUUUUGCCCCAUAAAAUGCCAGCAGCUGCUCCCUCCUUGCUCCUUGCAGACUGAGGGGGUGACAAGUUCCCCUGUGGAUGCUUUGAAGUGGAGAAGGAGAUUAAUCAGAAAAAUUCAACUAGCUGCUGUGCUGCUUGGUUUGGAGCAGCCUUGUUGGGAAAGGAUAUUACAUUGGCCUGAUACCCUGAGCUAUUUGCACUGAUAUCCCCACGGAGGAGAAGAGCUGGCUGGGAGAAGAAAAUGAACAGUUCUAUUUAUGCAGCAAGUAAAUGAUUGUGGAGCAAGUGCUGGUUGCAUGCUGCUCCCAACACCGGUGCCCAGUGCUAUGGAGGGAUGGAGAGCUGCAUCGCCCUCUUGGACAGAAUUAGUUGGUGGUGAGGAAGAAGAGAUAGGGGAGUGAGGAAGAGACCACGAUGGAGACUGCCUGGUGCCUCUUGCAGUGGCUGCUGUGAGCUAGGAGCUCCCAUCUUCCCUUAGCAAACGUCCCUGUGCUGGGUCUGGAGUCUUUCAAGUCUGGAUACAAGGAUGAUGGUGUGCACUUGGCCUGGUUUCUGUAAAAAUUCAUUCUGAAAAGAAGGGGUUUAUAUAUAUAUAUAUAUAUACCCUCCCAUCUCUCUUGCAGUUACCCAAAUGUACCUUCUCAGCACAGAUAAUUAAAAAUGAACACACAUCCCCAAGGAGAGAGCUAUUCUGAAAGCACCUCAGGUGUGACCAAGCAUGCUCGUUUCUGUGUUUUACCCUUUGAGAGCUUCACAAAUCAAAGAGAAUCAUUUUCAGACAGUGAUGAAUCGCUUAUACUCCCAUUUGUUUGCCUGAAGUCUUCCUUUAAGAGAAUGUGAACAUUUUUUUGCUGGCUGUGAACGUGUGGGGGAGAUGCUUCAGUCUUCCCGAGGUGUGAAGAGCAAGCACAGCACUGUGAUGCUGCAAGGGGGGCGCAUCCCUCCCGGGCUGUCUGUGACAGGGACACUUGGUGCUCUCCCAACCCUGUGCUCAGCUUCAUCUAAACAAUUCAUCCCAGCUCAGCUCUGUCCCCCUUGAUUUAUAAAACCCCCUCUGCUUUGCCCCUGAUCUGUAUCUGACAUGUCUCCCUGGCUCUGCCUUCCCUGGGGUGAUGGCUGGCACUCCAGUCCCUCGCUGGGGACAUGCAGGGUAAUUCAUCGCUGGUGGCAGGGAGGUGGAGGGGUUUUCAUAACUGCGUGCACAUGAUCUGCUUUUUACACGGGUCUAAAUCUGGAUCGAUGAUCCGCCCUGUCCUCUGAAGUGCCGUAUCACAGCUAUGACAUCUCGGAGCUGCCUUCGGUGUAUCACUACAAACAGACUCACCAGGGCGCUUCCACAGCUCCCAUCCCUCCUAACAAUGCAUCAUUUAGGGAAAUUAAAUCUGAAGUGCAUAUGUGACCGUCCUUCUGAUGGUCACCAGGGGCUUUGCUGGAAUAAAUAAAGUUCUCUUCUGGUCUGGCUGGCCGGAGAGUUGCCUUUGCUCAGAUCUUUCUGGCAGGGCUUAUCAUUUAUCUGGGUCCAGGUUAUGAAGUGAAGGAUCCGUGCCACGAUGCCAUUUGUUGCUGACAGCUGAAAUCCUGGCUCCUCUUGAUUGUGCCUGCCUUGCUGCUGGUGACAAGUAGGAAUUUUCUACUCCCUUUGCCACGUGUGUGAGCAGGAGAAAGGCUUCCUGAUCAAGGCUCACCCAGGGCUUCUCCUCCGGCAGAGCCAUCCCAGCUGUGCCUCGUUUUUAGAGGCAGAGUAACGGGAGCAGGAGCAAGCUGGGAGGAGAGCUCUGCUCUGGCCCUGCAGCAGAAGAUGCUCCUCCUGCUCUGGUCAAGGUCUGCUCUGCCCUGGCUCCUAUUGUGUGGAUGAAAAAUGACCAGGGAGGACAGAACAAGGGAGCAGCAAGUGUCUGUGGACAAACAAUUCUUGACCUGCAGUUUGACACGCAUCCAGCCGAACUCCAGCGCCUGAUCUCUCUAGCUCCAGAGACUCCUGCUCUCCUUCUCCUAUUAAAAAUAGCACUCUCAUAGCAAGCUUUUGCUUCUCACCCACCUAUUGAGCUCCCAGGGUCACCCGAGCCCUAAUUAACCGAGCCCCCAUAGCACAGCCCAUCUCCUGCUCUCCCCGGCUUUGGCAACCGGAGCACACUGCUGCUGCUCGCCUCAGGUCUCUCCCGAAGCCCUAAGGCGUUUUGAUGUUUAUUGUUCGCUGAUUUUCAUCCACGGUGGUGGCCGAGGAGCUUCAUCUGGUGCUUGGAUUAAAGAAAACUUCGGCAUGAAUCUACCAGCACGUCAGAUGGCAUGGAGCUCCUCAUGGCUCUUGUACCCCACCAAAGAAUGAAAUCAUCCCCCGUGUCGGUGCACGUGUGUCCGUGCAGAUAUCCGUGCCUGCAGAUCGCUCUGCAACCAUGGUUACAGUCUUUUGGGGGCGAGGAUGGCUGGGGCAGGCUGUAGGGUUGGCUCUGUGCUUCAAAACACAAAGGGGAACCUGCCAGGGGUGGCCCUGUCCUGCUGGGAAGCUGGUGCUGAGGGCACGGGGCAGCUGCAGGGAUCAUUUUGCACGGAGGGCGAAGCCAACACCAUGUGGAGCAGCAAGGGCUGGGCCACCGGGUGAUUCACCACGGGGACGGUGGUGCUGAGCCAGGUCGAUAAGGAAGCCCGGCUUCCAAAUGGAAUUAAAUAAUUAUUCUCACUUUCUUUGACUUCGGGAGGAUCCUAUUAAAGAAAAGAGCCUGGAUUACCGGCUGGCUGACAUUUUCCUCUGAGCCUGUCUCCAGAUUGGAUUUAGCUCUUUUAUCUCCUAAUCCCCAGAGCUUUUUAAUGUAGAAAGUAAUGGCAUCCAAAGGCAAAUUUAAUUUUGACAAGUAAUCUGACUUCCUUUCCUUUUCUGGAGUCGGGUUUUAAUCCUGUUUGCUGUCUGAAGCUGCAUUAUGUGGAUGUAUUUAAAAUCCUUACUACUCUAAAAUCUUCCGUAGAGGGAAAAAUAUAAAGUGAAACUUUGCCAGCCUGGAAGCGAGGACUAGUUUUUUUAUCAAACACGUCAAAACAUCUCCUGCUUACAGCUGCUGGAAUUUUUAAGCCCUGCAUUACGCUGAACUUUGCUCUGCACUUCUGGGAAGAGCACAUCAGCAAAUACAGGUUUUUUGGUAAAAAAACGAAUUCAGUGCCUGGCCCUGCUCCCACUGAAAUGUGGGGCUGAGCUGCCCGAGGAUGGUGGUAGCAGAGGAGCAGGUUGUCAGCAGCUUGGUUGGGGAAAGUUUCCUUCCUGUUGCUCCAUUGCAGGUGUUGGGAUUGCUCAUAUGGUGAAGAUUUUGGGUCUCAUCCAGACAUGUUGUUCCUGUCUGGUAGGUUGGGUCCAGAGCAGGGGAGCCCUCCGGGUGAUGUCCCUCUGCCACCGGUGUGCUCCAGGGCUGAGGAUGCUCCCUGCCGGGCAUCUGGAGCAGCAUUUGGCAUCAAAUGUUGCAAAAACCCCUGAAACUAAAUCACAGACAAGGGGUGCGAUAAUGGAGCUCCAAAGCUACUCAUCUCAGCAGAGAAAAUAGAAAAUCACAUUGUUAUUAUGUUUCUCCAGCUCUUUUGGUCCCACACAGCCACAUCUAGGUGAAGAUCAAUGCCUGAUCGUUGGCUAUUUCCGACAGCAACAUCACACCCCGUGCCACUGCCCUGCUCCGAGCAUACGGUUUCCCUGAAAAUAUCAACUGCAAAUAGGGUCUUCUCCUCCUGAGAAAAUCAGUAGUUAUUGACUGGGGACUGUUUUCACUAAAGGCCGUAACACACAGAACGUCCCCGUCGCUCCGCAGCCCCGCAGCUGAUGGUUCAUUAUGCCAGCACGUAAACACCCGGCUCCUGCGGGUGCAAAACGUGCAGCUCGAGGCAUUGAUGGAAUCUCGCUAUUAAAUAAAAAAAUGAGCGUCUGUCUCGUUCUAGCCUGGUUAAAAAAAAAAAACUCAGCAGAAGAAGGGAUUAUGUAUAAAUACAUCUAUUUGCAAAUGUCAGCUUUGAAAUAGGGAGGAAAACGUGCAGCAGGGCUGUGGGCCAGCGGAGGUGGAAAUGGAUUGGGUUUCACGGGGGCUGCCAAGUGAAACAAGUGGGGGCUCUGCUCUGGGUGCAGGCGUGAUGGAGGCAAUCAGGGGAGCACAACCCAUGGCUCUUGUGCUGAUGGCUUCUCUGCAGAAAUUUGGCAUGUGAGCAGUGUUAAGUAAUCAAGGGGCAAAGUGGUGAAACCAAUUUCUUUUGCAGUUCCUGUGUUUUCUUUCCCCCUCCUUCCCAAGACACUGAUUCACCUCGCUUGGGAGCUGUUGGGGGAAAGGGAUCCAGGGAUGCAGCAGCAGCCUGGCUUGGUCAGGAACUAGGGCAAAACACAUGGGAAGGGUUUUUAUUUGCAGCUGCUUUUCCCUGCCUGGCUCUGAGCUGUCUGGAGUAAGCAGCAUUUUCCCAACCCCUUUUUUGACUAUGAGCAGCCACACCUUGGCCAUACCUCCACCCACAUCCCUGCCUGAUCAUCGACACACACCCCAUAACCCUGGCACAGCCAUAAACUGGAGGAUCAUCAUCUUUGUAGCUGGCUGGAAGGGGGUGCUGAGGGAUGUCCUGCUUUGAAGCCCUCCCUGCUGCACUACGAGGUUCUGAACCUUCAUGUCAAUAAUUAUGAUGCGCUCGGGAAAUGCAUCUUUCCAGGAAAUAAAGAUCAGCUCAGCCCAAGCACCACCAGGGUGUUUCAGGCCAGACUGGGGAAGGCUGCAGAUCAAUGCACAGGUGAUGUCUCUCUAGCAGGUGUUUUGUUACCAAUAAGCCAGGUUUGUGCCUUGGGAUGAUUCACGGCCACACCUGAAUACCUUUUAUCAGCAGUGGCCCCAACCCACAUCUUUUUGACCCCAUUUUUUCCAAAGUUUUUUGAGUAUAUUUGAGUUCAGCCAACCCAGACCCAUAACCAAACAGUCUCCCAGCGUGAUGUGUUCAUUUACCAGUGCCUUCAUUAGGCUGUGUCCACAGCCUGGAGGGAAGUGAGGAUGUCAGGUUCUGCAGGAGGGAUGCAGCUGAUGAUGGUGUUGUUAUGAACUACUUUUUUUUAUCACACCUGAUUUGUCACAUCAAAACUCAAAGCUCCCAAAACACCAUUGCCAACAGUAACGCAAUCCGAACUGUAUGCAGGAAUAUUAUGAUGGAUUUGUGAAGGUGACUUAGGAGAGUGGUAACUAAAAUAACAAUUCUGCCUUGUAGCAUCCCGGUUUGUAUUCUCAGGAAAGGGAGCGGAGAGGAUUUAAGCUAUAUUAAGAUUUCAGCACAUCUGCAGCAAGUGAAGAAGCGCUUCCACCAGAAAUGUGAAUGUCAAUCUUGCCGAGGGAAAACACAGAGGAAAUAAAGUCUCCUUGAUAAAAUGGAUAGGAAAUAUAAACUAUUUACAAGUGUCAUGAGCAGCCUCUUAGGCAAAAACAGAGUGCCAGCCCCACGCUCCCCAUCCAUCCAGCAGCUGUUUACUAUGGGGUGUGUGUGUUUGUGGAUGUUUCCUGGUCCAGGUUUACACCGUGGGUCUGGCUGCAAUACUUUGUGCCACCCAGCUGGCAAACAGCAUCCUAUUCUUCCAAAUAUCCUUCCAAAAUAUCCUAUCCAGUGGCAAACCCAUCCUGCCCGUCUGCAUUGCAGGACUCUGGUGAGGCUCUGAGGUUGGAGAGGAUGCUGGCUUUAGGGACAGUCGGAGAUGGAAGGGAGGCAGCCAGAAAAAAAAUACGAUUGCAGCCAAGCCAUAUGUCUGUUUUCCCACUUCCCCCCUGUCUUUCUCUUUAAUAUUAAAGUAAUAACAGUGUGUUAUGCAGAAGUGAGAGAUGCUUCUCGGGACUGGGCUUUUUCCAUGUGCAGACCAAAGGGUGAUGGGCAAAGCAGAAAUGUUGUGGUGUGUCUGGGAGCCAGCGACAGGCAUCCAACCUCUGCAUCCCAGCCUUGCAGGGAGAGCCUCAAAAGGAAGGCUCGCAUCCUGCCUCCCCCUGCCUUGUUAUUAAUAACCAAAAUUUGCAUUCAUAUUAGCCUUCUGUAAAACCCUUCUAAGGACAUGCUGAAGUCGGGCUUUACAAAUUUCUGCAGGAUCCCUUGAGAGCAGCAAAAGCCGUUGAAGAAGCAAUAUUUGGAUGGGAAACUUAUGUCCUCCAAGCUGGCAAGUUGUAACACCGACACAGCUCGUUCCUGUAGCUGCAAAGCUCUGCCUGCAAAAGGUGCAGAGCCCCUCCUGCCUUCCCCUCCUCCCCCCCUCGUUAUUUAACAACUGGCCGUGAUUUACACAGCUCAUUAAUGCAGCGGUAACACCGACACAGGCGUUCCCAAAUAAACCAGAAGGUUUAUACUUGACCCGGGCCCUCUGCUCGCUGCAGCUGCCCCAGAGGAUUUGAAGAACAGUGAUUUGAAGUGAUUGCAUCGGGUAAGGACGUUACACAAUGCAAAUACAAGUGGAUGCCAGCAUUUAAUUUUUAAAAACCGCUGCUAUGGGAGAGCCUUUGAGGCAGGGACAGCACCAGCCCAGCUCACUUCACAGCCUCUGCCUCACCCCUGCGGACAGGAAAGCAAAGAGGGACCAGUUUCAAACCAGAAAGGUUUUUUCAGGUGGCCUGGAUGGGUUUGCUCCAAACUGUCCCCUUCCCCUUUACCCCCUUGGGGUGUUGCCAUCCCAAAUGGGGGCAGUGACAAUGUGGGGUGUCCCUGUGCUGCUCACCCCCGGGCAUCACAGACAAGUCCUCGGUGUGCUCCCAGCCAGCUUUCCAGCAGCAAACACAUAAGGAUCAGGGGCAAAUGGUAACGGUGAUUAUUGGUCGCCCUUGGGUGAGGUUUUUAUUGCUCUAUUUUGGGUAUUGCAGAGUGAGGGGAAUAAAAGGAGAGGGUUUAAGCUGACGAUUACACACUAAAUGGCAGUGUUCCUGCUAAUGUGCUGAGUGCCUACAAAGAGCUGCUGGUCAAACACCCAUAAAGGUUUGCUCUGCUGAUGUAUAUAACCUCCUGCCUUCUGCAAAUGGCUUAACUCCAUCGGCUCCUUGCUCGUUCCCAGGCAGGUGCUGAAAUCCCAGGAGCUGGAGCACGGAGGGCACAAGCCCAGGAGGGUCCCCUGGGGACAAGGCAAGUCCCUGAGGUCCCCUCCUGCUACCGGGACCACCAGGCUCAGAGGUGACCCAUGGUGAAAGGAAGCCUGUGAGAACAACUCCGGCAGGAGGCAAGCUUGCUGAACACACCAGGGAACAAGGCAGUGAGACUGCUCCUGAAUUCUCAGGUGACAAAAAUCCCCCGGGGUCCCCUCCGGAUGUCUGUGAGAAAAUCUUUCCCUCUGCAAAGAGGCUUCCAAAGGCAACAGGAUGGGGACAGAUCCUCCCGGGACCACAAACAGGUCUGAUUCCAGGGAUGCAGAUUUCAUCCUUGCCUUUGCCACCCCAGAUGAGAUCUGGACCCCAGCAGGAGUGAACCCCCCAAAAGCCAGCACCCCUUUCUGCCCGUCUGACGGCCGCCCCCACUAACGGAUCCUUCCUACACCUGCCAAGGCCUUCUGUGCUCCACGCAGCUCUGCCCAUCUGAACGCCUUCCAAGUAUUUACAUACAAAAGGAAUUAUUGCAGUUCCUCUUUCUGGCUCCCCGGGCUACAGGAACCAUCUCUGGCUGGGUUGGCAGGCGGCAGCGCUUCCUGGGGAAGCAGGCAAAGCAGCCCCGAUGCCUCUGUGCCAGCAACACCCCCGGGAUCUCUGGCACCAUCCAAGGUGGAGAGGAAGAGAGAUUUUAAGGAUAUUUCAUUGGGAUUGCAAAAAAUAACAAAAAUGGGUUAGGUAGAGAAAGACCCAAGUUAAAGCCCCCAGGCUCGCUCCUUUGCUCCCAGUAUGAAGGGACUGGUUGGAGCCUGGGAUGGUGAAAGGCUUCUCUGACCCAAUGUCUGUGCAAGGAGCUGAGACAGAGAGAUGUCCCCGCUUCCCCCUGCAACUAUCCAAGCUGUCAGCAGUCCUGGGAGGACACUAACAGGAGGAGAAAAGCAGAUCCUGGUGGGUCCCCAUGGGGAGCAAGCCUGGGGAGCUCAGGGAUUGUCUGCAGCAGCUUUUGGCUCGGGCUGGAAGGAAGCACUGAAGGUUUUGUGAAGGUUCAGAGCAAAGUGAGGACAUGGAAGCUCUUCUCAAAAUGCCCCUGUGGACCUAUUAAUCGCAAUAUUGGAUCUUUUGUCUUUUCUAGCAGGUUCCUAGCAAUAAGCACGCAGCCAGCUUGGCUGAGGGUUUGUUUAUUUUCCAGCUAAUGGAGCAGCAGGAUCAAUUCCAGCUAACAAAUCCUGGAAUAUCAGAAAAAUGAUGUGCAAUUCCCUUGGAGAACUUGUGGCGUCCACCUUGUAGGUGGUUAUUAGCAGCAGCAGGAUUAAUGCAGUGAUAUGGCAGAGGGCUAGGGACGCCUCGCAGAAAUGGACACAAAUCACAGAAAGCCCGUCACUGGCAAAGCAAGAGGAGCAUGUUUGCCCUGUUGAUUAUUACCAGCCACUGACUAGACGGGGAAAAUUGUGCUUGGAAACAAGGCAGUGCACAUAAAAACCCAGCCACAAACACUCCCUGCAGUAACUCUUCCCGCAGGACUCUGAGUGGUGCCUGAAUGGUGCUCAUCUGGCAUCGCGCUGCAAAUGAGUUCAAAACGCGACCGUCCAACCCGAGCAACCAGCACUUGUUACCAACCCCAUUACGCUCUAAGUGGCACUUUAGCUUUGCUCCUUGCUCAUCCACGCUGGGUCUGGGUUAUUUAACACAUGGGCUGUGUUGCACGUGGUCCAGCUGGAGCACAAACUGCCAGAAACCUGCGCACCCUUCCCGCUGCCUCUGCCAGUUUUCCCUCACCUCCACCACGACGGACUCGCCAGGAGAAUUACGGAUGUCGAAUUUCUGGUGACUCUCUGUUGGUCGCAUCUUUUUGGCCCCACGUACACAUGAGCCAACAGCCAGUGCUGGUUCGGGGCUGCCCAGCACACCCCACGCUGGGCUCUGGACCCUGUGGGUUUGCGGUUUGGGGUUGUAGGGCAGGACCCCAGGCAGCCCACCGCAGCCUCCUGCUGGGUACCUGCAGCCCCCCAUGCCCAGCCCCAGGGGCAGCACAGUCCCCUCUGCCUGCAGCUUGCUGCCCCAGAGGUGGGCUGCAUCUCCCAGGGGAGGAAAGGCACAAAAUCAGGAAAAGGAGAGGGAGGGAGCAGGCCGAGAACAAGCAAAAAAUAUUGAUAUAAAAUUCAUGGAGUUUGUGUUUUCCAGCACCUCGUCUGGGCUUUCAGCAGCUUUCCGUGUUCCCUGUGAGCAGGUCACUGCCUGCCGUGCACAAACUCUUCCCUUUUAUCUUUUUGCCUUCUCCCUUAUUUUUAAAUAUGCAAAUACAUCAGAGGAGCAUUUCAAACUCCUGACUACGCACAGAUCUGAAGGGCCUUUGAGCUCCUGAAGGCCUGGCUCCAAAAAACACAGGGAUGCUGUGCGCUCCCUCGGCUGCAUCCCCCCCUCCAAACCCUGCGUCCCUGCAGCUCCUGCCCCCCACUUGGCUCCAUCUCAGGCAGGGAUUUGCAGGAGGAAGGCACCGGGCUGAGGGUGUAGAGGGAAUGCAAGGCUUUAACUUGAAAACACGGAGCGUGAGUCAUAAUUCUCGAGAAACGGAACAAAAAAAGGAGGAAAAAAAAAAAAAAAAGAUGUGCCAGCUGGGAGGCAUGGUGGUUUUGAAAAUCUCUGAUUGGCUCUGAUUGAAGUAUUUAGCUGCAGCAGGUCUGCUAGAAAAACCUGAAUGAAGGCAAAGAGGUCCUUAUUCAGCCGAACACACCCGGCUCUGUGUAAUACAGAGGGACAAAUCCAAGAAAGAAAAGGCCAGACAAACUCUGAAAUUACAAGUGAUUCCUCUGGGAGCAGCCAGUGUUGCAUUUUCUCUCUGCAUCCAACACCAUGGCCAAUAUUUUUUGAUUUACCCCAAUGCUAAUUAUAUUCUCUCUUGGGACAGCUUGGGCUGGCACCAGGUAUCCCUGAGCCCUGCUGGGCUUUGUGUGCCCCGUCUCUUCCCCAACAGCAGGCACCUCGUCAGGCUUCAAAUAGAGUCAUUCUUCAUUGCACUCUGCUUGUUUGCCACUGGGAACUUGCAAAAUGCUAAGUACCCAGGAGGAGCUUUCAGUUCUGACCCGAUCCCCGGGCUGACCCACAG